This 497-nucleotide ribosomal RNA is filed under the name uncultured bacterium. RNAcentral describes it as "partial 16S ribosomal RNA". It matches the Rfam family "Bacterial small subunit ribosomal RNA", at positions 28 to 507 of the family's 1533-position model. The record is from RNAcentral.
GAUGAACGCUGGCGGCGUGCCUAAUACAUGCAAGUCGAGCGAACGGACGAGAAGCUUGCUUUUCUGAUGUUAGCGGCGGACGGGUGAGUAACACGUGGAUAACCUACCUAUAAGACUGGGAUAACUUCGGGAAACCGGAGCUAAUACCGGAUAAUAUUUUGAACCGCAUGGUUCAAAAGUGAAAGACGGUCUUGCUGUCACUUAUAGAUGGAUCCGCGCUGCAUUAGCUAGUUGGUAAGGUAACGGCUUACCAAGGCAACGAUGCAUAGCCGACCUGAGAGGGUGAUAGGCCACACUGGAACUGAGACACGGUCCAGACUCCUACGGGAGGCAGCAGUAGGGAAUCUUCCGCAGUGGGCGAAAGCCUGACGGAGCAACGCCGCGUGAGUGAUGAAGGUCUUCGGAUCGGAAAACUCUGUUAUGAGGGAAGAACAUAUGUGUAAGUAACUGUGCACAUCUUGACGGUACCUAAUCAGAAAGCCACGGCUAACUACGUG